AUGGGCGGAAGGUGUAAGUGGUCAAACUAUGGGAAGGCUGCAGGAGAGAUUGAUCCAUGUAAUACUGUGCUAUGUUGUUUAUUUGUGGAGCUUCAAGUUGUGCACGGUUUGUGGUUCAUCAUAUCAUGGUUUCGACCAUUUCGUAGGUUCCCUGUUGCAUGGGCAUUUCUUCUGGGAUAGUACAAAUGGCUAUAUUCAUGCAGAAAGAAGUACCACUAGCGGUUACUGGAUUACUAAAUUUACUGGUUUGCUCCGUAUUCAUGUGGAUAUGACUGCAUUGAGUCAGAUGACAGAAAACAACCUCAAAGAUAUUAUAUAAGCACAUGGCUAAUGGGAUGGUUAGUGAUUAUUGUUUUACCACUGAAAUUUACUAUUGGUUAGUGGGAUGGUAGUUGUUUUAUUCUUACACUCUACUGGGGGCUGUGAUUUUGGAUAUGUGGUAAUAAGGCCUGGUAAUAAGGUUAGUGGGAUGACGUCCCUGAGCAUAUGGACAUUCAUGGAAUAAGCAGGAUGUGCUAACAGGGUAUUUUUUUCUCACUGAAAGUGUGUCUUGUGGUGGCUGGGUGUCUAGAGACUAGAGACACAUUUCUUGCAUGGUCGACUAAGAUGGAGUGGCAUGACAUGGUGGGAGUAGAUAUAAUUUCGAGAAUGACUAUGAAACUUGAUUUUUUGUGCAUGUUUAGCAGAUACUUCUAUUUUAUGUUGCGGCUAUAAUAUACUACCUCUGUCCAUUUUUAGAUGUCAAAAAUUUGUCUAAAUUCGAAUGUAUCUAGACAUUUUUUAGGCAUAGAUACAUCCAAAUUUAGACGAACCACUGGACAUCUAUUAAUGGACGGAGGGACUAUAUAUUAUGUCCACGAGAUAUGCGGUGCGGGGAGUCGCUGUUGCAGUACAUGGAAAAAUGAUCUUCCUUUACUUCAUGAUCGUGUAUUCUUUCCCAUGGAUCAUAAAUAGCUCGGGAUUUUCUCCCUUGCGCUCUGCUUUAUUCUUAUGCAGUUCUUCUCUAUUUUGUUGCGCCCUUUAUGUAAAUAUGUACAAAAUAUAUAAUCGUGAUCAGUUGCAGGUGUUUAGAGUAUUCAUGUUCACCAGGGAGCACAAGGAGUUGGGGAGGAAGGAUGAGCGCACGACCAUCCAUCAGCGAUGGCAAGCAGGGAAGGGGCAAGUUGGAGGCAAACAUCAAGUCGUUGGAGCAUAAUGUAGCUCGGAAAAUUACCACAAGAACUUGAGUUUGAGACCCUGAAGCAAACUAGGGGCUUUUUUCCAGCUAAAAACAAAAGGGAAAACCUAAAGGUAAAACAAGAAAGCUCCAGGACAUCAAGUGGUGGCCGAGGUGGAGUAGCAUCCCAGCUUCAGCUCGACUUGUACUGCUGAACCACGCACCUGAGGCUGUUCUUGAUCAUCUCUUUCGGCAGCAGGUCUCCAUCUCUUGCACUCAGAUUGUUCCAGCCAGGGUUCCAGAACGGAGUGAUGGGCGAAGCCACACAAGGCUUAGAGUUGCUUGCAGGUGUCGAUGGAGCAACGGGCUGCACCAGGAGCUGAUCCAGGAGAGAAGACGCCAGGGAAGCAAGAGAUAGUGAAGCCACAGGGAUCACACCCAAAGCAGCAAGGGGCUUUGGCCACCUGUAAGGCCUGCUGGGAGAAAGUGUUAUCUGUAGAAGCAUAGGCUCCUUCAGGAUUAAUCUCCAUUUCAUGAAGAUUUAUACUUAGGAGAAAAUUACGAGUUUCUCAGAUUUUGUACCACCAUGUAGAGGUCUUGCAUCGAAGAUACAUACUUAAAGAAAAUAACGACUUUCUCAGAUUUUGUAACACCAUGUAUAUAUCUGGAAAGGAGUUCUUCUAGAAAAUAAAUGCUAGAGUAUAUGCGCAUAGGUAGAUGAGUAGUACAUGAAGAAAAGCUUGCCUAGUGCAUUUAUACACUAACAUAGGUUGAAUUCACACGAAAUAAGAACCUUAACUUUUAUUUAUGGCAACUAGAAAAUCCAAAGCACAAGCUAUAUAAAUAAAUAUUACAAGAAAGCACAAAUGUUCUUUAUGUAUAAGGUAAGGCUCAUACAUUUUAUCCUUAGCUAAUAUGCUUCAGUGUCAUGAUGAAGGCAGCUUCUAAAGCCAUUGUACAUGGUCAUGAUCUUCCUUCCUUACUUACCCAUGGAUGUUAUUGAGAUUGUUUUUUGACCGGGACUACGACG
Lolium rigidum is the source of this 2186-nucleotide long non-coding RNA. RefSeq lists it as uncharacterized. Lineage: Eukaryota; Viridiplantae; Streptophyta; Magnoliopsida; Poales; Poaceae. The record is from RefSeq and is a predicted model, not a curated record. The transcript is spliced from 5 exons.